Non-coding RNA from Camellia sinensis, 1580 nucleotides. Lineage: Eukaryota; Viridiplantae; Streptophyta; Magnoliopsida; Ericales; Theaceae. The record is from RefSeq and is a predicted model, not a curated record.
AAGACGCACAGGAGAUCGUGGCAGAACAAGGACCGAAGCAAUUCAAUUUCAAAACCCUUUCUUCUGUGACAGAAGGUUUCCAUGCCAAAAACAAGUUUGGCAAUGGUGGCUUUUGCUCAAGUGUACAAGGGAAAGUUGAAUGAUGGGAGAGAAAUUGCGGUGAAGAAACCAUUGCUGAUCUCAGACAAGGGAAAGGAACUUGUCCUGAAGGAGAUGAAACUGCUGCUGAGGUCUGCACACCACCGAAAUAUUGUUGAGUUUCUGGGUUUUUGUUCACACUGUGAAGCGAUGCUGCUUGUAUUUGAGUUUGCAAGAAAUGGCAGCCUUGAUUACCUUCUCUUUAAUUCAGAGACUGGCAGGUCAGAUGCGCUUGAAUGGAAGGCAAACAUAUGACAUAAUUGUAGGUGUUGCCCAGGGCUUGCUUUACCUUCAUGAACGAUCACACAGUGUAAUUAUCCAUUGUGACAUCAAACCCACCAACAUCCUAAUAGAUGAAAAUUUGGUCCCAAAAAUUGCUAAUUUUGGCACGGCCAGCCUCUUCCCUGAAGAUCAAAUGCAUGUUAAUAUUAGUGAAGCUACCGAUACCCUGUAUGUGUUAAGUAUAUAAUUUUUCUUAUUUUUCCUAGUAUCUUUUUUUUUAGCAAUUUGAUUUAGGAUAUAAUUUACAUUCUCUAUAUGUUGUCACUGAAUCCUAUUCUUUUCAAAGAAAAAAAAAAUCAAAUCCAUCAAAUCCAUCCGAUCAGUGUUUUUUUGAGUUUUCAAAAACCUUUAUCUGUUUUUUUUUUUUAUUUAUUUAUUUAAACCAAACCAAACUUUUUGAAACUUGAUUUGUUGUUAAUAUAUGCUUGUACAUGGAAUCAAUGGGUAUUUGGAUCCCGAGUAAAAUUGUGGAGACGUUGCUCCAAAGGUGGACACAUACAACUUUGGGGUAGUGGUUUUGGAGUUGAUAAGCGGUCAGAAGAAUUGGCUUUUCCAUGAUUGGUCUUCCAAUGGUCAAGAUCUACGGGAUGGAGCAAAGGAGCUCUACAAGGAAGGAAGGGUUUCAGAGUUUAUGGACCAGAAAUUGAUACCAUUGGUUGUCCUUGAUCAAGUACAAUUGUGCAUACAUAUUGGGGUAAUGUGCAUCGAAUAUGAUCCAAAACUACAACCCACCAUGGGUCGCGUUUACUCAAUGCUGUCAGAGAACCAUAGCAGUAGCAGCACCCUAGUUGAAGAAUCGACGACAGAUGGAUCAUCAUUAGCAUCAUCCACAACUCGAAAUUCAGGUGAAGAACCAGCUUACGACGGGGAAGGUGAUCCCGAAGACAAUCAAGAUGAAGUUUUAAAGCCGUGGUUCACUUGAAAACUUGGACUAGUAGUUUGUUUUUGUGUUCUCUCUUCUUUUACCUUUUGGUUUGACAAUGUUUGUAAACCGCUAGUGGAACUCAAAUCAGUUAUCUAUGUUAUAACUCUGCUUGUAUGUGUAUAUUAACAUAUUGUGGUUAUCUCUUUUGUUUGAGUUGUACUUUAUAUAUUUCUCUUGCGGUCUCAAAAUUUUGGGGCGUGACACCUAAUGUAUUAAUAAUAUAAUUCCUAAAGUC